UACGGGGGAUGCAAGCGUUAUCCGGAAUCAUUGGGCGUAAAGCGCCUGUAGGUUGUUUAAUAAGUCUGUUGUUAAAGACUGGGGCUCAACCCCAGAAAAGCAAUGGAAACUACUAGACUCGAGUAUGGCAGGGGUAGAGGGAAUUUCUAGUGUAGCGGUGAAAUGCGUAGAUAUUAGAAAGAACACCGGUGGCGAAAGCGCUCUACUGGACCAUUACUGACACUCAGAGGCGAAAGCUAGGGUAGCAAAAGGGAUUAGAUACCCCUGUAGUCCUAGCCGUAAACGAUGGAUACUAGAUGUUGUAUUUAUUUUACAGUAUCCUAGCUAACGCGUUAAGUAUCCCGCCUGGGGAGUACGCUCGCAAGGGUG
This 369-nucleotide ribosomal RNA is filed under the name uncultured phototrophic eukaryote. Its description in RNAcentral is "SSU rRNA". It matches the Rfam family "Bacterial small subunit ribosomal RNA", at positions 524 to 896 of the family's 1533-position model. The record is from RNAcentral.